Molecule: long non-coding RNA, 718 nt
Organism: Salvia miltiorrhiza (redroot sage)
Lineage: Eukaryota; Viridiplantae; Streptophyta; Magnoliopsida; Lamiales; Lamiaceae
Exons: 3
Source: RefSeq, a predicted model, not a curated record
GUAGAGAUUAGAGAGAGAUUAGAGAGAGAGAGAGAAAAGAUUAGAGAGAGAGAGAGAAAAGAUUAGAGAGAGAGGAGCAUUAAUUAGCAAAUAUUGCAUAAGAUAUGCAAGAUCAAACUCAAUCUUGCAAAAGCCAAAUCCCUCUCUCCCUCACUAAAUUUUCGGCCAUCACCCCUCUCUCCCUCACUACAAUUUUCGCCCAACACACAUACAUACACUCAUCUUCUUCACCUCACACUUCCACCAUUUUCCUCCAUUAGAGCAAACCUUCGAAGCUUCCAACAAAAUUACCAAACACCUCACAUCACUCUAAAACUUUCCAUAAACACUAUCUAUCCUAAAUUGAUCAAGAAAAUCCUUGAAGAAGAAGCUCCAAAGUAGAGUGAGAAAGUGAGAAAUUUUGGUAAGAACUUGGGCCCGAGCGAGACGAAGAAGUAAGUUGCCUGAUUUCUUUCCAGAAUAAGCGAAGGACUUCAGGCUAAGCUGGGAGUGAGAUUGGACUGGUGCUGAUGGGGGAGAGUUUCAAAUGAUGUAAAUUAAAUUACUAUUUUGCCUCUAUGAUAAUAGAGUCUUGAUGUUUGAAUUACUUAGUUUCUUUUGAGAUCAAGCAAUACACUCACGGUUAUGUGUCUUCAUACAUAUAAUCGGUUCGCCUUUUGCUGCGAUACUCUGCAAAUUAUGCUUCCUUAUGAAAAAUGAACUAUACGCGUUUUGUUUU